This is a long non-coding RNA of Myiozetetes cayanensis, 441 nucleotides long. RefSeq lists it as uncharacterized. The record is from RefSeq and is a predicted model, not a curated record. The transcript has 3 exons. NCBI's taxonomy places the organism in Eukaryota, Metazoa, Chordata, Aves, Passeriformes, Tyrannidae.
GAUAUAAAAUGAAGCAAACAUUAUUGCUCAGUGGACAGCAGCGAAACUUUUCCAGAGGACUGGUCAGACACAACACUUCUUGAACCUUUUCCAAAGUCCUCUAAGGUCAGCAGGAAUCAUUUUUAUGCAGUGGACAAGCACAGAUCACAGGAAUAUAUACCAAGUCACUGCUUCUCCAUGAAACUAUUUCUGAAUGAUUAAGGUGAAUACAGAUUCUGGGACCGUAAGAAGACCUACAUUAUCAGCAGACAUGCAAUGAAACAGCAACAUGAUGGCCUUUGAUCCAGCCAAAGAAGGGAAUAUGGCCAAAGAGAGUGGAGAUCACUUGACGUCUAAACCUUCUGACCUUCCUGGCAAAGCUCUAUAAGGACCUCUACAGUGGGUAGAACUACAGUGAAGAGCUCAUAGUGCUCAGCUAGGGAUGCUUCCAAUUUGAUUAAA